This 452-nucleotide ribosomal RNA is filed under the name uncultured bacterium. Its description in RNAcentral is "bacterial SSU rRNA". It matches the Rfam family "Bacterial small subunit ribosomal RNA", at positions 29 to 526 of the family's 1533-position model. The record is from RNAcentral.
AACGAACGCUGGCGGCAGGCUUAACACAUGCAAGUCGAGCGCUGUAGCAAUACAGAGCGGCAGACGGGUGAGUAACGCGUGGGGAUGUACCCAGAGGUACGGAACAACGCCGGGAAACUGGCGCUAAUACCGUAUGUGACCGAGAGGUGAAAGAUUUAUCGCCUUUGGAUCAACCCGCGUCAGAUUAGCUAGUUGGUGUGGUAAUGGCGCACCAAGGCGACGAUCUGUAGCUGGUCUGAGAGGAUGAUCAGCCACAUUGGGACUGAGACACGGCCCAAACUCCUACGGGAGGCAGCAGUGGGGAAUAUUGGACAAUGGGCGCAAGCCUGAUCCAGCCAUGCCGCGUGAGUGAUGACGGCCUUAGGGUUGUAAAGCUCUUUCGCUCGCGACGAUAAUGACGGUAGCGAGAGAAGAAGCCCCGGCUAACUUCGUGCCAGCCGCCGCCGUAACAC